GGCAUAUAGCUCAGUUGGUAGAGUAGUUGCCUCACAUGCACAAGGUCCAGGGUUCAAUCCCCAGCACCA
This 69-nucleotide transfer RNA is filed under the name Marmota monax (woodchuck). RNAcentral describes it as "tRNA.Val". Lineage: Eukaryota; Metazoa; Chordata; Mammalia; Rodentia; Sciuridae. The record is from RNAcentral.